This 3749-nucleotide long non-coding RNA is filed under the name Androctonus crassicauda. Lineage: Eukaryota; Metazoa; Arthropoda; Arachnida; Scorpiones; Buthidae. The record is from RNAcentral.
UUAAUGUUGUCAAUAUUAACUUUAACAACUCAUAACGGUAAAUGGUUCCAUUUACUUACCAAAUUUGAAACAAUUUGAAAUAAAUUGAAUCUUAAUUAAACCGAAAUAGAAUAUAAAUGCUUUUCUCAUAACCAAGCUUCUAAAAAUGUAGAAAAACUAUCAAAUUAAUCUGAAUUAAAUUAAAAGAAAAAAAUUUUUUGAAAGCAAUUUGACAAUUAAGUCUACUACUCUUAGUUAUAAUGAUUAUUAAUCUAUCAUUUCAUCAUAUUAAUCAGAAUUUUCAUAAUUAGUAAGGAUUAAAACUAAUGAUAUCAAAUCCGAUUAUUAUUUACUAAAUACAGUACAUUGUCCAACACGAAAACUUCACAAUGCGUGGCGGGAUUAUCACGUGAGAGAUUACAGGUCGUCCUGCACGUGUAUGAACUCCGAGAAUUCUAUAGUACAGUCAGACAUGUCUACUGUUAAAGUAAUCUAAAAUUGCUAUGAUUCACUACUGCUGUUGUUAACUGUGCUCCCAGUUAUUCCGUAGGGAAUUUUUCGAUUGUAGUUCUGUUUCGAACUGCAUCCCAAAUGCGCCCGUUUCGAUCCCAGUUACCAGACAUUAAUCAUGGAUUUUAAUUACGUUUCAGUAGACUUUCUUCUUACGAUUCAACAGUCGCGUAUCCAAGCAUAAAAAUUCCCACCAAAAAACUCAAAUAACGACUUCUACAGAUCGCUUUCUUUCGUGAGAAACUGCAAACAAUUUCCUAGUUUUUUUCCACACUAUUUAAUUAACAGAAGGUGAUUAAAAUCCUUUUUUAUAAGACUAAAGAAUCGAGUAUAAUAUUGUUGCCCGUUCUGACUCCUUUAAAUAUCACUGAAUGAGCUAAUAACAGCAACAAAAUAGCAAUAAAGAUGGGAAGCCAUUCAACGAAAAGUCGCCUAUUUGCGUGCAGUUUUCUUGGCUUCGUUCUCUUAGAUGAUAAUUCUGUUUUCUUUCUUUUUUUUUUAUCUAGUUCCAUUUCUUAAUUCAUUUUUUACUUUUUUCGUUGAGAAAAUAUGAGAGAAAAUAAACUUAUUUUAGUACUUGUAUUUUAUUAUUAUUGAUGCUUGACUGACAGUUUCGUAAUCCUCAUAAUAUUAUACGGUGCGAAUAUUUUCAUCAUUUCUCAAAUUUGAAUGGUGCUGUAGUGCAUAAGCGCUUUCGUCAAUAUUAAUUAAACAGUAGACAUGCGAGUAUUCUUCUUGUGCAAACACAAGAAUGGCUAGGAAACUCCCUGCUUGGUAAUAAACUGUCAAUAGACUUGGUAACAAUAAAAUAAUAGACUACUGUAUCAAUAUUUUAUAACAAAAUAAAACUUGCAAAUAUUAAUUUUAAAUUUCUAACAAAAUAUUAUUCUUCUAUAAAUUAUUGUUGCCAACUAUAAUUUAUUUAUGAAGUUUUCCUUUAUAGAAUACAUUAAAUUCUCGUUUAUCCGGCAUGGUCGGGUUGGAUCAUGAUGUUGGAUAGAUAGAUGGCUUAGAAUAUUAUUCAUCAGGUUUGAAUAGGGACAUAUAAAAGCCCUAGAAUUGUGACUAUAUAAUAAUAGUCUAUUGUUCACCCUUAACAGAAUUAUCUCAUUAGAAGUCUUGUCUUAUAAAUAAAAGACAAUAUCUUCCUUAAUGGGAUUGUUGAGACAUCUUCCGGUACAGGAAAAUGCAAUAAAAUAAGAUUAAAUCUUAGCCCAGAAAGGGCUAUAUCACUUACCAAAUCAGUUAUCUGAAGACAUGCAGAGUGCUGACAACUGGAGACAGGAGUGCUCCAGGUUCUUUUCAUCCUGUAACUUGAUGGCAGUUUUGCCUCCAGGUUCUGUUAUCGGUUUUCCUGCCAAACUUAAAAUCCGUUCAAAUGUAAAGUAUUACUGCUUCUGGGAUCUCUGGAACAGUUUUGCCUGCAGAGAGCCCACCGGCAGCAAUACUUUAAAAGAUCCCCUGGGGAUGGAGAGCAGAAAUUCAUCCAUCAUCUCACCCACGUGUCAUAAGAAACAACUAAAGAGUGCCUUUCUUCUCCGCUAGUGGUCUGCAUACUUCUCUCUUCUCUCACUAUUCUAUACUCUUCUAAUUUUCAUUCUUCAUUCUUCAAAGGAUUAAAUCUCAACGCAUUACUUUAAAUUUUAUGAACUUAACUUCGUUUAGCUGUCAUCAAUUGCCACAUUAUUUAUUAAUUACUCUGAAGAUGUUGUGAUAAUAAUGGAAAUAGGCUGCUGAAUAAUGUAGUGAAUUAUAACGACCAGAACAGAAAUAUGCUACGUAAGUGCUGGAUAAAGGAGAUUUUAUUAUAUUUUUUUCCUUUAAGUAACGACUUCUUGUUUUCGUGUAUACAACCAAAAUAACAGAUUUUUUACUAGCUAUUUUUGACACAUAUUAAUUAUUUUUUCUAUAUAGCGGUAGCCAUUUUUAGAACCUUCAUCUUAUUAAUUUUCUUUACGCUUAAAAAAAAAUACUCGAAAAUUAUUUAUUUUACUCGUUUAAUUAUAAGCAAAAUAAACAGUAUUUCCGGUCAGGGAACUAACCGUAUCAAACCAGAUACCGAAUUAUUUAAAUUAUUUUCGAUGUUUUGAAAGCACUCUAUGUUUUUUAAUACAUUAUUUGCAAAAUUACAAAGUUACCGAAGCGAAAAGAUAAAUGGGUAAAUAAAUGUGUUGUUUGCCUUUUGUAGUUUCAAACCGGCAUUGCAUAAACUCCUUGGCAUUUCUCCAACGUCGAGAAACUAUCUUGAGAAACAACUUCACCAUUUCUGCAGAUUAACUAACAUUGCAUAAGUAUUUAUGCACUGCCGGCUCGCGUUACGUAACCAUUCUCGUUACUGCGAACUGCUCAUAACUUUUACCAAUAAUCUGCCGAUGGUAACGUAAUCGAUUAUAGAUUCAGUAGAGUGUAGAUUUUUCUUUCUUUUAUUUUUAACUUUAUAUAAUUGCGAUAUAAAGUGAUAUUAAUGGAUUUAAUUCAUGAUAAUUGUUCGAAAUUAUGAGAAAAAAAUAAAUAAAUAAAAUUCUGUAGAGGUUAACUUGCGAGACGAAGCAGUUGACACGCAAUAGCACUAUAUCCAUGGCAAUGGUUGAUUCUAUUCUGGAGUUUAUCAGGGAAGUUAAAUCGCUGAAUGUAUAAGAAAUACGAGAAGAAAGAAAUUUGAAUUUUUUAAUCAAAAAUAUUCAAAUUUUAAAUAGUAUUUACGAGAGAAAAUAAAAAUUGAAAGACGUUUUACAGCCAGUUAACGUUUUCGAUAUUAAUUUUUAUCAGUGCCUCCGAAGUUGUUUCGAUUUUUACGUGGAUAUUGUCACAGAUGUAUUAGCUAAACGUUGUUAUUAUUAAAAAAAAAAAAAAAAAACUAUAAAAGCAGACGGUCUCACAAUAGAUGUUGUUAUUUAUAAAAGCAAAGAUUGUUCAGAAUCCGGAUGCCAAAUAGCUACCAAACCGAACUAGUCAGUUCAAACUUAAUCGAGUUAGGAAAAUAUCGAUUUUUCAAAUCUGUGAGUUAUAAUAGAUCUAUAUUGUUAAUUCUAAUCAUUUAUAUCUUUUAAUUUAGACACGACAACGUGUAAUUCGUUUCUUGCGUAAUAUUUCGCAUUAAAUUUAUUUAUUUAUACGAAUUUUUCUCGUUAUUUUCGUGAUAAAAUAAACUGGAAGGAGAAAAAUAUUCGAAUAUUUUAAGUGCCUAAGCGAGUAACGUUUAAGUGAUGUAGUUGUGUUUUUUUCCUUUUUAUUUUUGAAGUUUUUAUCAAAACUAAGGC